This 573-nucleotide non-coding RNA is filed under the name Trichobilharzia regenti. RNAcentral's name for it is "Eukaryotic small subunit ribosomal RNA". It matches the Rfam family "Eukaryotic small subunit ribosomal RNA", at positions 33 to 595 of the family's 1831-position model. The record is from Rfam by way of RNAcentral. Lineage: Eukaryota; Metazoa; Platyhelminthes; Trematoda; Strigeidida; Schistosomatidae.
UUUUUCAUUAAUUAAACCACCAUUCAUAUAUAUAUAUAUAUAUAUAGUUUUAUAUUCGCUAACCAAUCAUUGAAUAUGUGAUUUUGGCAGACACAUUAAACGACAUGAAAUAGAAUGUUCAAAAAGCUGUAUUGAACUGUGGGAAUAUGUGAAAGUACUCCAUUGGCACACAUUGUCAGUAUCACACCACCAUAACCCCUUUCGGAGGUAUCAUUCACUUACUUGUACAAUCGCAAUUUUGCAUACUUAUUAUUUGCGUGUGUGUGGAUGUAUACAUUCAGUAUAUGAAACAUAGCUCAAGAAUGAAAAUAUUAGUUUGAAGUAUUGUUCACAUCUGGAGUAAACGGGGAAUCAGGGUUCGAUUCCGGGGAGGGAGCCUGAGAAAUGGCUACCACAUCCUAGGAGCAGGUGCGAAAAUUACCCACUCCCGACAUGGGGAGGUAGUGACGAAAAAUACGAAUACGGGACUCAAUUGAGGCUCCGUAAUUCGAAUGAGUACAAUACAAAUCUUUUAACGAGGACCAAUUGGAGGGCAAGUCUGGUGCCAGCAGCCGCAGUAACUCCAGCUCCAAA